UACGGAGGGUGCAAGCGUUAAUCGGAAUUACUGGGCGUAAAGGGUGCGUAGGCGGUCGUUUAAGUCUGUUGUGAAAUCCCCGGGCUCAACCUGGGAAUGGCAAUGGAUACUGGGCAGCUAGAGUGUGUCAGAGGAUGGUGGAAUUCCCGGUGUAGCGGUGAAAUGCGUAGAGAUCCGGAAGAACACCGGUGGCGAAGGCGGUGAGCUGGGCAGUUGCUGACACUGAGGCGCGACAGCGUGGGGAGCAAACAGG
Molecule: ribosomal RNA, 253 nt
Filed under: uncultured bacterium
Lineage: Bacteria
Description: partial 16S ribosomal RNA
Rfam family: Bacterial small subunit ribosomal RNA
Source: RNAcentral